Molecule: long non-coding RNA, 2942 nt
Organism: Mirounga angustirostris (Northern elephant seal)
Lineage: Eukaryota; Metazoa; Chordata; Mammalia; Carnivora; Phocidae
Exons: 2
Source: RefSeq, a predicted model, not a curated record
CGAGGGGCCCGCGGGCAGAACGAGAAGAGCGGUCCCAUUCGCCAUGAACGUCCGUCCCUCGUCUGGCGCGGCUUAGGCCCGGCCCGGGAGAGCGCGAGAGCACCACAUCGAUCUGGCAAAACACAAGCGCCGAGAGGAGCCCGAGGAGGGGAGAAGCCGGUGAGGACAGCAACCCGAGGGGGAGCCUGUUUGGUUUUGUUUUUUUUCGGCCUCACCGGCACCCCCUCGAAAACCCCAGGGCAGGAACAGCCGGACAACCCGAGAGAGAGGAACGCCUGACACGCGGCACGGAGCCUUGCGGGACGGGAGGUUGUCACGACCACAGCCGGGUGCCCGCAGAGUGGAGGACACAGGGUAAAGGACCCACGCGCCACCUGCCCACAACCGCCCUCGGGUGCUGGAGACCGGAGGCGGCACCAACGGCCUGGGCCACCUGGAGGCACAGGAGCCGGCGCACAGGCCCACGCGGACGGCUCAGGCCAGCGACGGCAGAGCCGGGCUUGGCAUCCCUGUCAAGCCCGGAGCCCCGCCACACGCCCAGAAGCCCACCUCCCUUAAGGAGAGGAUCGCCCAAACAUAACGUGCCAGCACCUACCUGGCGGCAAAAAGGGCUCAUUUCGGGCGAGAAAAUAGCCGCGCCGCCUGGCGUGGCCUAGCCACAGGUCACCGGGAUCUCCUGGGACCGUGUCCCGGCCACGGGCCCCAAGCACUAAUCCAUCGCCCCCGUCUCCCCCCGGAGCCCCCCCCGCCCCCCCCCCCCCCCGGGCCAUCUGGUCGACCCCCGGAACGUGGUGGCAGCCGGCAGCGAGUAGGGACUUGGCGGGAGGUGGAGCGGCCCGGAUAGGCCCGCCCCCGGGUCCGCCUUUCGUCCCCAAAUCGGGACUUUAGAAAUUCUCACCAAGUUCUGUGGAGGCCCCUGCGGACGCCCUCCUCCCCGGGCCUCAGGACCGCCCCAUGCCGGUCCCCGACUCCCGGCCGGGACUGAGGAAAGGGGGCGAUGCCGCGGAGGCGUCCCCCCGAAGGCCGGACCUCAACGGGAACCGCAGCCGGGCCCCUGGGGCCCUCGCGGCCCGGCCCGGCCCGGCCCGACCCGGUCGGGUCCCCACCUCCGCAGCGGGCCUCGGAAAACUUGUUAAGAAUAUCGGGUCCGGGGCGCCUGGGUGGCUCAGUUGGUUAAGCGACUGCCUUCGGCUCGGGUCAUGAUCCUGGAGUCCCGGGAUCGAGUCCCGCAUCGGGCUCCCUGCUCGGCGGGGAGUCUGCUUCUCCCUCUGACCCUCCUCCCUCUCAUGCUCUCUGUCUCUCAUUCUCUCUCUCUCAAAUAAAUAAAUAAAUAAACAAAAACCUUAAAAAAAAAAAAAAAUAUCGGGUCCGAUGACCGGGACCCCACGCGUGCCCGCGGCGGGGCCCGUCGCGCCAUCCAUGGGCUUCCCCGCAAGGCUCAGGCCGGUCCCCAACCGCCCGAGCGUGACACGGAAGGCCCAACGGCCGACCGGAGCCACGGGCCGGAUGGCGUCCGGGCGCCCGACGCAGCCUCUCCCAUUCCCGCGGGCGGAGGAGGGGGCACCGGCGGGUGCUGGUCGACCCGUCCAGGCGGCCACCCUAGCGUGGCUCUCCGGGAGCGAGGCGGCGGCGCCACCACCAGCCCACAAACCUGGAGGCUCAAUCUCCCGCGAGCGGAGGUCGCGCCGGUGGCCCGGAGACAGCGGGCCGAUCUCGCUAGCGUCGCCGGCCUCCCGGUACUCCGCCUCGGGAACCGCGGCCAAAUACAAUCCCUUGCCGACAUCGCUGACACUCCGGCGGGGACACGCUAUCUAAAAGCGGCCGCCAGGUGGCACCCGACAACCGGCGCGAACAACAACGAGGCAGAUCCGGAUCGCGGGCCCGCGAAGGCGCACAGCCCGGCCGCCCGGCCGCCCGAUCUCGUGGGGCACGGGCCUCCCACAGCGGCACACCUGCGGCGCCCGGGCUUCCGGGAGGACUUAAGACACAUUUCGGCGGGCAAGGACCGUAAAACCGAGACCAAGCGAGUACUCCGACAACCACCACGGAUGAACCUUCUCUCUUCUAUCAUUUUAAGGGGAGGAGGAGGUCUCUCUGAAGCAUACGAAGAAAGCUCAGGACAGGAAGGGGGGGGGGGGAUUGACACACACCCCCAGAAAGGAAAGAAUGUCCAAUGGAACAAAGACAGUCUCUUCAACAAAUGGUGUUGGGAAAAUUGGAUAGCCACAUGCAGAAGAAUGAAACUGGACCAUUUCCUUACACCACACACAAAAAUAGACUCCAAAUGGUUGAAAGACCUCAAUGUGAGACAGGAGUCCAUCCAAAUCCUAAAGGAGAACACAGGCAGCAACCUCUUUGACCUCAGCCAAAGCAACUUCUUCCUAGAAACAUCGCCAAAGGCAAGGGAAGCAAAGGCAAAAAUGAACUCUUGGGACUUCAUCAAGAUAAAAAGCUUUUGCAAAGCAAAGGAAACAGUCCACAAAACCAAAAGACAACCGACAGAAUGGGAGAAGAUAUUUGCAAAUGACAUAUCAGAUAAAGGGCUCGUAUCCAAAAUCUAUAAAGAACUCAUCCAACUCAACACCCAAAGAACAAAGAAUCCAAUCAAGAAAUGGGCAGAAGACAUGAACAGACAUUUUUCCAAAGAAGACAUCCAAAUGGCCAACAGACACAUGAAAAAGUGCUCAAUAUCGCUCAGCAUCAGGGAAAUCCAAAUCAAAACCUCAAUGAGGGCGCCUGGGUGGCUCAGUUGGUUAAGCGACCGCCUUCGGCUCGGGUCAUGAUCCUGGAGUCCCAGGAUCGAGUCCCGCAUCGGGCUCCCUGCUCAGCGGGGAGUCUGCUUCUCCCUCUGAUCCUCCUGACCCUCCCCCCUCUCAUGCUCUCUUUCUGUCUCUCUCUCUCUCUCAAAUAAAUAAAUAAAAUCUUAAAAAAAAAAAAAAAAA